ACGGAGGGUCCGAGCGUUAAUCGGAAUUACUGGGCGUAAAGCGCACGCAGGCGGUUUGUUAAGCUAGAUGUGAAAGCCCCGGGCUCAACCUGGGAAUUGCAUUUAGAACUGGCAGGCUAGAGUUUUGGAGAGGGGAGUGGAAUUCCAGGUGUAGCGGUGAAAUGCGUAGAUAUCUGGAGGAACAUCAGUGGCGAAGGCGACUCCCUGGUCAAUAACUGACGCUCAUGUGCGAAAGUGUGGGUAGCGAACAGG
This 252-nucleotide ribosomal RNA is filed under the name uncultured bacterium. RNAcentral's name for it is "partial 16S ribosomal RNA". It matches the Rfam family "Bacterial small subunit ribosomal RNA", at positions 525 to 776 of the family's 1533-position model. The record is from RNAcentral.